UGGGGAAUAUUGCACAAUGGAGGGAACUCUGAUGCAGCGACGCCGCGUGAGUGAUGAAGGAAUUCGUUUCGUAAAACUCUGUUCUAUGGGAAGAAAAGGACUGUACCAUAGGAGAAAGCUCCGGCUAAAUACGUGCCAGCAGCCGCGGUAAUACGUAUGGAGCGAGCGUUGUCCGGAAUUAUUGGGCGUAAAGGGUGCGCAGGCGGCUUUACAAGUUGGAUGUGAAAUAUUGUGGCUCAACCACAAACGUGCAUCCAAAACUGCAAAGCUUGAGUUAAGGAGAGGUAAGUGGAAUUCCUGGUGUAGCGGUGGAAUGCGUCGAUAUCAGGAGGAAUACCGGUGGCGAAGGCGACUUACUGGACUUAAACUGACGCUCAGGCACGAAAGCGUGGGGAGCAAACAGG
RNAcentral lists this ribosomal RNA (404 nucleotides) under Fusobacteriota bacterium. RNAcentral describes it as "Fusobacteria bacterium partial 16S ribosomal RNA". It matches the Rfam family "Bacterial small subunit ribosomal RNA", at positions 355 to 776 of the family's 1533-position model. Lineage: Bacteria; Fusobacteriati; Fusobacteriota. The record is from RNAcentral.